AGUGAACGCUGGCGGCAGGCCUAACACAUGCAAGUCGAACGGCAGCACAGUACUUGCUCGUGGAUACGGGGGGGGACGGGCGGAUGGGGCCGGGAAACAUGCGAGUCUACUGGGUCUUGGGGGCGAACGCAGGCGCACAUACGCUAUUAGCGCAUACGACGUACGGGGGAAAUCUGGGGACCUCACGCCCUCAGGUGAGCCUAUGUCCGGAUGUCGGAUUAGCUAGUUGGCGGGGUAAAGGCCCACCAAGGCGACGAUCCGUAGCUGGUCUGAGAGGAUGAUCAGCCACACUGGAACUGAGACACGGUCCAGACUCCUACGGGAGGCAGCAGUGGGGAAUAUUGGACAAUGGGCGAAAGCCUGAUCCAGCCAUGCCGCGUGGGUGAAGAAGGUCUUCGGAUUGUAAAGCCCUUUUGUUGGGAAAGAAAAGCAGCAGGUUAAUACCCCGCUGUUCUGACGGUACCCAAAGAAUAAGCACCGGCUAACUUCGUG
This 492-nucleotide ribosomal RNA is filed under the name uncultured bacterium. RNAcentral's name for it is "partial 16S ribosomal RNA". It matches the Rfam family "Bacterial small subunit ribosomal RNA", at positions 29 to 507 of the family's 1533-position model. The record is from RNAcentral.